Molecule: ribosomal RNA, 253 nt
Filed under: uncultured bacterium
Lineage: Bacteria
Description: partial 16S ribosomal RNA
Rfam family: Bacterial small subunit ribosomal RNA
Source: RNAcentral
UACGGAGGAGGCAAGCGUUAUCCGGAAUUAUUGGGCGUAAAGCGUCCGCAGGUGGCACUUCAAGUCUGUCGUCAAAGACUGGGGCUUAACCCUGGAAAGCCGGUGGAUACUGCCGGGCUAGAGUCCGGAAGAGGCGAGUGGAAUUCCUGGUGUAGCGGUGGAAUGCGCAGAUAUCAGGAGGAACACCGAUGGCGAAGGCAGCUCGCUGGGACGGUACUGACGCUGAGGCGCGAAAGCGUGGGGAGCGAACAGG